CCUACGGGUGGCAGCAGUGGGGAAUAUUGGGCAAUGGGCGCAAGCCUGACCCAGCAACGCCGCGUGAAGGAAGAAGGCUUUCGGGUUGUAAACUUCUUUUCUCAGGGACGAAGAAAGUGACGGUACCGGAGGAAUAAGCCACGGCUAACUACGUGCCCGCAGCCGCGGUAAUACGUAGGGGGCAAGCGUUAUCCGGAUUUAUUGGGUGUAAAGGGAGAUUAGGCGGGUGGGCAAGUCAGAUGUGAAAACUCAGGGCUCAACCCUGGGCCUGCAUUUGAAACUGUGUUUCUUGAGUGCUGGAGAGGCAAUCGGAAUUCGGUGUGUAGCGGUGAAAUGCGGAGAUAUACGGAGGAACAACAGUGGCGAAGGCGGAUUGCUGGACAGUAACUGACGCUGAGGCGCGAAAGCGUGGGGAGCAAACAGGAUGAGAUACACUAGUAGUC
This 443-nucleotide ribosomal RNA is filed under the name uncultured bacterium. RNAcentral describes it as "partial 16S ribosomal RNA". It matches the Rfam family "Bacterial small subunit ribosomal RNA", at positions 338 to 795 of the family's 1533-position model. The record is from RNAcentral.